AGUGAACGCUGGCGGUAGGCCUAACACAUGCAAGUCGAACGGCAGCACAGUAAGAGCUUGCUCUUACGGGUGGCGAGUGGCGGACGGGUGAGGAAUACAUCGGAAUCUACUUUUUCGUGGGGGAUAACGUAGGGAAACUUACGCUAAUACCGCAUACGACCUACGGGUGAAAGCAGGGGAUCUUCGGACCUUGCGCGAUUGAAUGAGCCGAUGUCGGAUUAGCUAGUUGGCGGGGUAAAGGCCCACCAAGGCGACGAUCCGUAGCUGGUCUGAGAGGAUGAUCAGCCACACUGGAACUGAGACACGGUCCAGACUCCUACGGGAGGCAGCAGUGGGGAAUAUUGGACAAUGGGCGAAAGCCUGAUCCAGCCAUACCGCGUGGGUGAAGAAGGUCUUCGGGUUGUAAAGCCCUUUUGUUGGGAAAGAAAAGCAGCAGGUGAAUACCCCGCUGUUCUGACGGUACCCAAAGAAUAAGCACCGGCUAACUUCGUG
This 492-nucleotide ribosomal RNA is filed under the name uncultured bacterium. RNAcentral describes it as "partial 16S ribosomal RNA". It matches the Rfam family "Bacterial small subunit ribosomal RNA", at positions 29 to 507 of the family's 1533-position model. The record is from RNAcentral.